Long non-coding RNA from Sinocyclocheilus anshuiensis, 768 nucleotides. RefSeq lists it as uncharacterized. Lineage: Eukaryota; Metazoa; Chordata; Actinopteri; Cypriniformes; Cyprinidae. The record is from RefSeq and is a predicted model, not a curated record. The transcript has 3 exons.
CUCUUAUCCUUGCCAAGGCGAAAGGAUUUGAUGUCUUUAAUGCACUGGACCUAAUGGAGAACAAGACAUUUUUGGAGAAGCUCAAGUUUGGCAUUGGAGAUGGAAACCUGCAGUAUUACCUCUACAAUUGGAAAUGUCCCAGCAUGGGUUCAGAAAAGGUGGGUUUGGUUCUACAGUGACCUAUUCCACCAUCCAUAAUCUAUGUCUCGCAUGACAGCGAGGCUGAUUUAUGACAUCACGCACUGACCACCUGACAGAUGCUACCAAUGGACUUCCUGCUUCAGGAAGGAGAAUUCACCGCCCAUUUUUAAGUUUCAACUUUGACCUUUUGGACCUGCACUACUUAUUUCUCUCUCUCUCUCUUUCUCUCUCGCUUUCUUUCUAUUUCCCACACUUCUUAUUCUCUCUCUGCGCAUGGACCUAAAGCCAUUGUAAUUACCAUCAUCAGAGAUGAGGAACCUUAAUCUGUUAUGAUUGUUAACAACAGUACACACACACACAAAAAAACUUGACAAGCUCAUGAUGAACCCUGAUGCAUAAGUGUUGCGCUAUUCGCAUCGGUAGAUUCAACUAAUUCGGUAUAACAUGAUUUUACUCUCCCUAUCCAAUGAGAGGUGCUUUUUGCAAAAUGGAUGAAAAUGUUUAUUUCUUCAGUGUUUUAGAAAAGACCAGACAACAAUCAAAGACGCAUGAAAAUUCCUAGAGAAAAAAAAAACGGCUAAUGAGAUAAUAAAAAUCCCAAGUGGACAUGACAAGGGCUGCUGUCAA